Branchiostoma floridae (Florida lancelet) is the source of this 822-nucleotide long non-coding RNA. RefSeq lists it as uncharacterized. The transcript is spliced from 2 exons. NCBI's taxonomy places the organism in Eukaryota, Metazoa, Chordata, Leptocardii, Amphioxiformes, Branchiostomatidae. The record is from RefSeq and is a predicted model, not a curated record.
UUCCUCCCGCCCAGGAUUUGUCCUCGCUCGCAGCAAGUCAGCCAGCGCGAGCGAGAAGUAAAAACACCACAUGCAAACGCGAGAAAUUACUUUACCGAAAUCAAGACCCAGAAGUAAGAUAGACCUCACACUCGCAUUGUAUAUUUUAGGAUUUGUAUUUAGUACAAACAAACGUUUUUCUUCCCAGUUUGCACCCAUCGAUCCCUUUUCGCGGCGUUGUCUUUCGCGUGUGCCUGUGAUUUUGUUUCCUCUCUCUCGGCGAAAACGAUGAUGAUGAUUUUUCCUCUCUCUCAGCGAAAACGAUGAUGAUGAUUUUUCCUCUCUCUCGGCGGAAACGAUGAUGAUGAUUUUUCCUCUCUCUCGGCGAAAACGAUGAUGAUGAUUUGCGAGCGAGGAAAAAAACCGCAUGCAAGCGCGAGAGAACAAAUCACCGCGGGGGAAAGAAAAUCGCAUGCAAACGCGAGAGGUGAUACUGACCGCUGACGUCACGCCCCCUCAGACGUGAACAGGAUUGCUUCAGCCACUGGUCUGCUACAACAUGCAACACUCAGAUGGAGCACCUUCAUGGGAAAAGAAGCAGAACUUGGUCCAUGAGAGAGUAAACGGGGAGAAACCAGACCUGGUCCCAGCCAACAGUACAUGGAUUGUAACCAGCUUUGCAAAUUUUAGAAACACUUGUAACAUUUCUGAGAUUUUAUUGGCAAGAUAAAAAUUCAAAAUGUAUGUCAUUUCAGCCGGCAUCAUUUUUUGUACAUACAGAAAUGCAAUAAGAUUGUGAGGCAUGUGUAACGUUUCAAGUAUUUAUUAAAGCUGUCAAGAAGA